CCUUCGGGUGGCAGCAGUGAGGAAUAUUGGUCAAUGGGCUUACGCCUGAACCAGCCAAGUCGCGUGAGGGAAGACUGCCCUAUGGGUUGUAAACCUCUUUUGUCAGGGAGCAAUUGGCGCUACGUGUAGCGUUAUCGAGAGUACCUGAAGAUAAAGCCUCGGCUAACUCCGUGCCAGCAGCCGCGGUAAUACGGAGUAUGCGAGCGUUAUCCGGAUUUAUGGGGUUUAAAGGGUGCGUAGGCGGAAUGCCAAGUCAGCGGUAAAAUCGUGGGGCUCAACCUCACACCGCCGUUGAAACUGGCGUUCUUGAGUGGAGGAGAAGUAUGCGGAAUGCGUGGUGUAGCGGUGAAAUGCAUAGAUAUCACGAAGAACACCGAUUGCGAAGGCAGCAUACCGGAGCGCAACUGACGCUGAAGCACGAAAGCGUGGGUAUCGAACAGGAUUAGAUACCCGAGUAGUC
Molecule: ribosomal RNA, 460 nt
Filed under: uncultured bacterium
Lineage: Bacteria
Description: partial 16S ribosomal RNA
Rfam family: Bacterial small subunit ribosomal RNA
Source: RNAcentral